AUACGGAGGGUGCGAGCGUUAAUCGGAAUUACUGGGCGUAAAGCGUACGUAGGCGGUUGGUUAAGUUAGAUGUGAAAGCCCCGGGCUUAACCUGGGAACUGCAUUUAAAACUGGCGAACUAGAGUUGAGUAGAGGGGAGUGGAAUUUCAGGUGUAGCGGUGAAAUGCGUAGAGAUCUGAAGGAACACCAGUGGCGAAGGCGACUCCCUGGACUCGAACUGACGCUGAGGUACGAAAGCGUGGGUAGCAAACAGGAUUAGAUACCCUAGUAGUCC
RNAcentral lists this ribosomal RNA (274 nucleotides) under uncultured bacterium. RNAcentral's name for it is "partial 16S ribosomal RNA". It matches the Rfam family "Bacterial small subunit ribosomal RNA", at positions 523 to 796 of the family's 1533-position model. The record is from RNAcentral.